RNAcentral lists this ribosomal RNA (424 nucleotides) under uncultured bacterium. Its description in RNAcentral is "partial 16S ribosomal RNA". It matches the Rfam family "Bacterial small subunit ribosomal RNA", at positions 359 to 774 of the family's 1533-position model. The record is from RNAcentral.
GAAUAUUUGACAAUUGGGGGAACCCUGAUCCAGCCAUGCCUCGUGUUUGAAGAAUGCCUUUUGGUUGUUAAUCACUUUAAGCGAGGUGGCGGCUACUCUAUUUAAUACCUAGAGAUAGUGGACGUUCCUCCCAUAAUAAGCACCUGCUACCUCUGUGCCAGCCUCCGCGGUAAUACAUCGGGUGCAAUCGUUAAUCGGAUUUACUGGGCGUAAAGCGGGAGUAGGUGGCAAAUUAAGACAAAUGUGAAAUCCACGAGCUUAACGUGGGAAUUGCAUUCGAUACUGGUUGGCUAGAGUAUGGGAGAGGAUGGUAGAAUUCCAGGUGUAGCGGUGAAAUGCGUAGAGAUCUGGAGGAAUACCGAUGGCGAAGGCAGCCAUCUGGCCUAAUACUGACACUGAGGUGCGAAAGCAUGGGGAGCAAACA